Molecule: ribosomal RNA, 378 nt
Filed under: uncultured eukaryote
Lineage: Eukaryota
Description: partial 18S ribosomal RNA
Rfam family: Eukaryotic small subunit ribosomal RNA
Source: RNAcentral
CAAUAGCGUAUAUUUAAGUUAUUGCAGUUAAAAAGCUCGUAGUUGGAUUUCGGGUGGGACGCAGCGGUCUCGCAUUGCGUUUGUACUGCUGCAGCCCUCCUUCUUGCCGGGGGCGGCCUCUCGGACUUCACUGUCUGGGGGUCAGAAUCGGCGAUGUUACUUUGAGUAAAUUAGAGUGUUCAAAGCAAGCUUACGCUCUGAAUAUAAUAGCAUGGGAUAACACGACAGGACUCUGGCCUAUCGUGUUGGUCUAUAGGACCAGAGUAAUGAUUAAGAGGGACAGUCGGGGGCAUUCGUAUUCCGUUGUCAGAGGUGAAAUUCUUGGAUUUACGGAAGACGAACAUCUGCGAAAGCAUUUGCCAAGGAUGUUUUCAUUGA